Molecule: ribosomal RNA, 401 nt
Filed under: uncultured bacterium
Lineage: Bacteria
Description: bacterial SSU rRNA
Rfam family: Bacterial small subunit ribosomal RNA
Source: RNAcentral
GGGCCUGCACAAGCGGUGGAUGAUGUGGAUUAAUUCGAUGCAACGCGAAAAACCUUACCUACCCUUGACAUGUCAGGAAUUUUGCAGAGAUGCGAAAGUGCUCGAAAGAGAACCUGAACACAGGUGCUGCAUGGCUGUCGUCAGCUCGUGUCGUGAGAUGUUGGGUUAAGUCCCGCAACGAGCGCAACCCUUGUCAUUAGUUGCUACGCAAGGGCACUCUAAUGAGACUGCCGGUGACAAACCGGAGGAAGGUGGGGAUGACGUCAAGUCCUCAUGGCCCUUAUGGGUAGGGCUUCACACGUCAUACAAUGGUCGGUACAGAGGGUUGCCAAGCCGCGAGGUGGAGCCAAUCCGACAAACCUAGUCGUAGUCCGGAUCGGAGUCUGCAACUCGACUCCGUG